GCCGUGCUUUUCGUAUUGACAUGCAUAAUCUCGAUGUUUCCGUCCUCAAUCUAGUCAGGCUGAUUAUCAGACCGACCAACUAUUUAUUACAUGCGUGGUUAGGUGCGAGGAGGGAAAAAGGUCGUUGUCAUCUUAACGUUUAUUUAAGCUAGCAGAAUGCCCGCCGUUGUUGAAUGGAGCUGACCUGGAUGAUUUCUGCACAUGCGAUUUCCUUGGUUCUAUCUAUCAUUGAUAUUGCAGCUUGGAACCAUGCUCAACCCGUGAUUCUUUUUCGGUAUCAUCUUUUACAACCAGCUUCGGUGGGAUCUGAAAGAUAGUCCACACAACGCUACUUCAGCGAGACGCCGUGCUAUUCCUGGGCUCAUGUCAUUGGUAGCUGUGCUGGAUACUAGCAAGGGACUGCUAUGCAUCGAACGCAAUAUGCAUAUUUGUUGCUUUUCAUAACAAGAUUUCCUGUUAAUCCUUGGAUUGCGGCCAUAGAGUUAACAAUGGAAGUGUUGAAGUAGGAGGACAAUGUAACAUUUGCGGGUAGUAUUCAAGAAUGCGAGCAUAAAAAGGUUACUACCAAUAUAUGGAUUCGAAGGCGAGCAAGAAGGGU
This 598-nucleotide small RNA is filed under the name Histoplasma capsulatum var. duboisii H88. RNAcentral's name for it is "Histoplasma capsulatum H88 hypothetical RNA". Lineage: Eukaryota; Fungi; Ascomycota; Eurotiomycetes; Onygenales; Ajellomycetaceae. The record is from RNAcentral.